CACGUAGGGCGCAAGCGUUGUCCGGAAUUAUUGGGCGUAAAGAGCUCGUAGGCGGUCUGUUGCGUCCGCUGUGAAAACUCGGGGCUUAACCCCGAGCCUGCAGUGGAUACGGGCAGACUAGAGGUAGGUAGGGGAGAAUGGAAUUCCCGGUGUAGCGGUGAAAUGCGCAGAUAUCGGGAGGAACACCGGUGGCGAAGGCGGUUCUCUGGGCCUUACCUGACGCUGAAGAGCGAAAGCGUGGGGAGCGAACAGG
RNAcentral lists this ribosomal RNA (253 nucleotides) under uncultured bacterium. Its description in RNAcentral is "partial 16S ribosomal RNA". It matches the Rfam family "Bacterial small subunit ribosomal RNA", at positions 524 to 776 of the family's 1533-position model. The record is from RNAcentral.